CUUUUUAUAUUUUUAAAGGAAUUUUUAAAGUAUAUUAAAUUGCGUUAUGUUUUUUUUUUUUGUUGUUGUAUGGUGAAAACUAUGUUCAAUGUGCAAACAAUAUUUUAGUUUAUCAAAAUAUAUUUUUUAUGAUGUGUUCUUUCUCUGAUUCUUUCUUUUUCAGAUGUACACUUGUGUCUAAGGCUUAUGCUUAGCAAAAGGUUCACCAUUGUACAUAGGUUGCUGUGGGUUUUACUUCCAACAUGGCAUAUGCACUUAGUAUCUGAAUUUAUUUGUCAAUAACUGGUGAUCAGACUAUUUCAAUCGAACACGUUUUUAAAGGCUGAGAAGGUGAAAGUUAGAAGUCUGCAGACUGCAACGUAAGUCAAUUUUCAAAACAUGAUUUCCUGAAUAAAUUUAGUUUUCGAUUGAAAUGAGAAUAAACUGAACUUAUAGAUAUGUUGAAAAAUAACUAUUUUAUAUUUUAAACGUUCGCUAGACGCAAGUGAAGCAAUAAUCUAUAGAUACAAAUAUACUUUAUAUUUUGCUUUAGUUUAAAAACAGUUAUUGUU
Long non-coding RNA from Hydra vulgaris (swiftwater hydra), 551 nucleotides. RefSeq lists it as uncharacterized. The record is from RefSeq and is a predicted model, not a curated record. Lineage: Eukaryota; Metazoa; Cnidaria; Hydrozoa; Anthoathecata; Hydridae.